Molecule: small nuclear RNA, 100 nt
Filed under: Physeter macrocephalus (sperm whale)
Lineage: Eukaryota; Metazoa; Chordata; Mammalia; Artiodactyla; Physeteridae
Source: RNAcentral
GUGCUCACUUUGGCAGCACAUCUACCAAAACCGGAACGAUACCGAGAAGACCAGCACGGCCCCCAUGCAAGGAUAACGCACAAAUCUCCCUUUUAUUUUU